RNAcentral lists this ribosomal RNA (403 nucleotides) under Verrucomicrobiota bacterium. RNAcentral's name for it is "Verrucomicrobia bacterium partial 16S ribosomal RNA". It matches the Rfam family "Bacterial small subunit ribosomal RNA", at positions 355 to 776 of the family's 1533-position model. The record is from RNAcentral. Lineage: Bacteria; Pseudomonadati; Verrucomicrobiota.
UGGGGAAUAUUGCACAAUGGGCGCAAGCCUGAUGCAGCAACGCCGCGUGAACGAUGAAGGUCUUCGGAUCGUAAAGUUCUGUUGCAGGGGAAGAUAAUGACGGUACCCUGUGAGGAAGCCCCGGCUAACUACGUGCCAGCAGCCGCGGUAAUACGUAGGGGGCUAGCGUUAUCCGGAUUUACUGGGCGUAAAGGGUGCGUAGGUGGUCCUUCAAGUCGGUGGUUAAAGGCUACGGCUCAACCGUAGUAAGCCGCCGAAACUGGAGGACUUGAGUGCAGGAGAGGAAAGUGGAAUUCCCAGUGUAGCGGUGAAAUGCGUAGAUAUUGGGAGGAACACCGGUGGCGAAAGCGGCUUUUUGGCCUGCAACUGACACUGAGGCGCGAAAGCGUGGGGAGCAAACAGG